UGGGGAAUAUUGCGCAAUGGGGGAAACCCUGACGCAGCGACGCCGUGUGAGGGAAGAAGGCCUUCGGGUCGUAAACCUCUGUCAGGAGGGAAGAAGUGCGGGGAGUCGAAUAGGCUUUUCGUUUGACGGUACCUCCAGAGGAAGCACCGGCUAACUCCGUGCCAGCAGCCGCGGUAAUACGGAGGGUGCGAGCGUUAAUCGGAAUCACUGGGCGUAAAGCGUGCGUAGGCGGCGAUGCAAGUCAGGUGUGAAAUCCCACGGCUCAACCGUGGAACUGCACUUGAAACUGCAUUGCUUGAGUCCUGGAGAGGGUGGCGGAAUUCCCGGUGUAGGAGUGAAAUCCGUAGAUAUCGGGAGGAACACCAGUGGCGAAGGCGGCCACCUGGACAGUGACUGACGCUGAGGUACGAAAGUGUGGGGAGCAAACAGGAUUAGAUACCCCGGUAGUCC
This 450-nucleotide ribosomal RNA is filed under the name uncultured prokaryote. RNAcentral describes it as "bacterial SSU rRNA". It matches the Rfam family "Bacterial small subunit ribosomal RNA", at positions 355 to 796 of the family's 1533-position model. The record is from RNAcentral.